RNAcentral lists this non-coding RNA (24 nucleotides) under Arabidopsis thaliana (thale cress). The record is from RNAcentral. Lineage: Eukaryota; Viridiplantae; Streptophyta; Magnoliopsida; Brassicales; Brassicaceae.
AGCUAAUGGAGAUGGAACCGGCUA